Molecule: ribosomal RNA, 504 nt
Filed under: uncultured bacterium
Lineage: Bacteria
Description: partial 16S ribosomal RNA
Rfam family: Bacterial small subunit ribosomal RNA
Source: RNAcentral
AUUGAACGCUGGCGGCAGGCCUAACACAUGCAAGUCGAACGGUAACACAGAGAGCUUGCUCUCGGGUGACGAGUGGCGGACGGGUGAGUAAUGUCUGGGAAACUGCCCGAUGGAGGGGGAUAACUACUGGAAACGGUAGCUAAUACCGCAUAACGUCGCAAGACCAAAGUGGGGGACCUUCGGGCCUCACACCAUCGGAUGUGCCCAGAUGGGAUUAGCUAGUAGGUGGGAUAAUGGCUCACCUAGGCGACGAUCCCUAGCUGGUCUGAGAGGAUGACCAGCCACACUGGAACUGAGACACGGUCCAGACUCCUACGGGAGGCAGCAGUGGGGAAUAUUGCACAAUGGGCGCAAGCCUGAUGCAGCCAUGCCGCGUGUAUGAAGAAGGCCUUCGGGUUGUAAAGUACUUUCGGCGGGGAGGAAGGCGGUGAAGUUAAUAGCUUCACCGAUUGACGUUACCCGCAGAAGAAGCACCGGCUAACUCCGUGCCAGCCGCCGCAGUAA